Molecule: ribosomal RNA, 876 nt
Filed under: Maneneacalles concinnus
Lineage: Eukaryota; Metazoa; Arthropoda; Insecta; Coleoptera; Curculionidae
Description: partial large subunit ribosomal RNA
Rfam family: Eukaryotic large subunit ribosomal RNA
Source: RNAcentral
GGGAAGAGCCCAGCACCGAAUCCCGCGGCCGAUACCGGGCGCCGGGAAAUGUGGUGUUUGGGAGGGUCCAUUAUCCCGAGGUUACGCGGCGCGUCCAAGUCCUUCUUGAACGGGGCCACAGCCCAUAGAGGGUGCCAGGCCCGUAGUGACCGCCGCUGAUCGCGGGAGGAUCUCUCCUCAGAGUCGGGUUGCUUGAGAGUGCAGCCCUAAGUGGGUGGUAAACUCCAUCUAAGGCUAAAUAUGACCACGAGACCGAUAGCGAACAAGUACCGUGAGGGAAAGUUGAAAAGCACUUUGAAGAGAGAGUUCAAGAGUACGUGAAACCGUUUAGGGGUAAACCUGAGAAACCCGAAAGGUCGAAGGGAGAAAUUCAUUCGCGUUUCGUCGCAGGCGUCGGGCGGGGUCGAGUGACGGAAAGCGUUCGCGCGCUUUUCGCGCCCUCCGUUCGACGAACCGGUAACGAACGCGUGCACUUUUCUCCUGGUAGGACGUCGCGAUCCGUUGGGUGUCGGUCUACGGCUCGCGGUGGAGUCCGGUCGUACGUUUCGCGACGUACGGCUGGACCCGCGUAUCCCGGCUGACUCGCUCGACGGUAUAAGAAAGGUUUAAGGCCGCUCUCUCGGAGCGUUCGGCUCUCGGCAAGCGCGCCAGAUGCGUCGGCGAUCGGACCCGGUGCCGAUUCUGACCUCUGGUGACUGUUGGCCGAGAAGUUCUCGAACAGACCUUCUCGCUAAAACCGAUCUGCGACGCUAUAGCUUUGGGUACUUUCAGGACCCGUCUUGAAACACGGACCAAGGAGUCUAGCAUGUGCGCGAGUCAUUGGGAAUCACUAAACCUAAAGGCGCAAUGAAAGUAAAGGUCCCCCUCGCGGGGACU